Molecule: ribosomal RNA, 654 nt
Filed under: Staphylococcus aureus
Lineage: Bacteria; Bacillati; Bacillota; Bacilli; Caryophanales; Staphylococcaceae
Description: bacterial SSU rRNA
Rfam family: Bacterial small subunit ribosomal RNA
Source: RNAcentral
UUUAUGGAGAGUUUGAUCCUGGCUCAGGAUGAACGCUGGCGGCGUGCCUAAUACAUGCAAGUCGAGCGAACGGACGAGAAGCUUGCUUCUCUGAUGUUAGCGGCGGACGGGUGAGUAACACGUGGAUAACCUACCUAUAAGACUGGGAUAACUUCGGGAAACCGGAGCUAAUACCGGAUAAUAUUUUGAACCGCAUGGUUCAAAAGUGAAAGACGGUCUUGCUGUCACUUAUAGAUGGAUCCGCGCUGCAUUAGCUAGUUGGUAAGGUAACGGCUUACCAAGGCAACGAUGCAUAGUCGACCUGAGAGGGUGAUCGGCCACACUGGAACUGAGACACGGUCCAGACUCCUACGGGAGGCAGCAGUAGGGAAUCUUCCGCAAUGGGCGAAAGCCUGACGGAGCAACGCCGCGUGAGUGAUGAAGGUCUUCGGAUCGUAAAACUCUGUUAUUAGGGAAGAACAUAUGUGUAAGUAACUGUGCACAUCUUGACGGUACCUAAUCAGAAAGCCACGGCUAACUACGUGCCAGCAGCCGCGGUAAUACGUAGGUGGCAAGCGUUAUCCGGAAUUAUUGGGCGUAAAGCGCGCGUAGGCGGUUUUUUAAGUCUGAUGUGAAAGCCCACGGCUCAACCGUGGAGGGUCAUUGGAAACUGGA